GAUUUGAUUAGGAUUUGCUUUAGGAUUUGGUUGGGAUUUGGUUUAGGGUUUGGUUUAGGUUUUAGGAUUUAGUUAGGAUUUGGAAUAGGAUUUAGAGUUUGGUUUAGAGUUUGAUUAGGGUUUGAUUUAGGAUUUAGGAUUUAGUUGUGAUUUGGUUUAGAAUUUGUUUAGGAUUUGGUUUAGGGUUUAAGAUUUGGUUAGGAUUUAGUUUAAGAUUUAGAGUUUGGUUAGGAUUUUAUUUAGGAUUUAGGAUUAGAUUUAGGAUUUAGUUAGGAUUUGAUUUAGGAUUUGUUUAUGGUUUGAUUUAGGAUUUAGGAUUUGGUUUAGGAUUUGGUUGGGAUUUGGUUUAAGAUUCAAGGUUUGAUUAGGAUUUGGUUUAGGUUUAGGGUUUGAUUUAGGAUUUAAGGUUUGGUUGGAGUUUGGUUGGGGUUUAGUUUAGGGUUUGGUUUAGGAUUUGAUUGGAGUUUGGUUUAGAAUUUAUUUAGGAUUUGGUUUAGGAUUUAGGAUUUUAUUAGUGUUUAUUUAGGAUUUAAGAUUUAGUUAGUUUUGGCAUAAAGUUUGAGUAAAGUCUAAUAGGAUUUUAACUAGGAUUAAAUUAAGAUUGAAUUGAGAUGUAUUUGAGAUAUAUUUGUAAUUAUUCUAAUAUUUUUUUAAGAUUUCUUAUUAUUUCUUUGAAAUUCCUUUGAGAUUCCUUUCUAUUAGUUUGAGGAUGAAAGAUCAAAGAUAACUUUAUGUCUAUCUUUAAAAUCUCUAAAAGGAUUUUCUAAAAUCUUGAUAUGAAUUGAAUCUCUCUAUCUAAUAUAAUAUCUUUAGGUAAUCUAUAAUAUCGAUAGAUAUUAUCAAAGAAAGCUUAGUUGUUGCUUGACCUAUGAUAGAUUUUGUACAUGAUACAAAAUGUGCCAUCUUUGUAAAAAAAUCUACUAUCACAAAUAUAGAAUCAUACAAAUUUAAGAUUGAAAGAUCCAUAAUAAAAUCCAUAGAGAGAAAAGACUAUGGUUGUUUUGAAAUAGGUAAUGGCUGAAGAAGUCUGUAAGAUUGAUGAUGGGGAGUUUUUGAUCUAGAGUAAAUAUCACAUGAUUGAACAUAAUCUUUGAUUGCCUUUCAUAUUUGCAGCCACCAAAAAUAUCUAGAUAUCAACUCUAAAGUCUUGUUGUAUCCAAAAUAUUCAACUACUGGAAAAUCGUGGCAUACUUAAAGAAUACAUAAAUAUGUUUUUUCUUUUUGAACAUAUAGGCAUCCUUUAAAAUAAAGUAGUUUGUUUUUGAAUUUAAAUUUAAAAGCAUCAUAAGACUUAAAAGAAGGAUUCUUGAUAUCAUGAAGAAUAGGAUUAGAAGACAUACUUGAUUGAAUUUUUUUGACAAAGGUUGAAUCAACAAUGAAUGUUGAUUUCAUUAUUUGAAGAUAAAAAUACUUGAGCUUCAAGAGUAUCAUUCUUUGUUGAUUAAAAAAUGCAUCUCUUUCUUUUGGUACAAGAUAAGAAUGUCUAGAAAGGAUGUUCAAAAAACCUUAUUAUUUUUUAGGUUGAUAUGUCAUCUUGAAAUCAAAUCUUGAUAAAGAUAUGCUCCAACAAGGUAGGCAACAAUUCAAAAUACGUGCUAAUAUGAAGUACUUGAGAUUCUUAUGAUUUUUAUAUAUGGUAAUUGGAUUAAAAGCACCUUCUAAAUUAUGAUGCUAUUCUUGAAAAGAAUCCACAAUUUCAAGAAGCUCUUUAUUGUGGAUCUCAUAGUUAAUCUCAACUGUUGAAAAUUUCCUGAAGUGAAAAGCUACUGGGAGAAGUUUAUUAUCUGUUCCCAUUUGUGAUAAUACAACAUCUAAAAAAAUUUUGAUGCAUCUUUUUCUAUAAAAAAUACCUUUCAAAAGUCAAUGCAAUACAAGAUUAGUACAAAAACAAAGGCUGUCUUUAAAGCUUCAAAUAUUACUUUUGUUUCUUGAUUCUAUUAAAGUUUGUUUUUAUAAGUGAAACAUAUAAGUAGAGCUACAACUUGAGAAAAGUCUUUGAUGAAGAUUUAAUAGUAAUUGGCAAAUUCUAAAAAAUAUUAGGCAUCUCGUAUCAUUUUUGAGAUCUUUCAAUUCAUAAUAGUUUGAACUUUCUUAAGAUCUAUCAUAAGUCUAUCAUUGAAAUGAUAUAAUUUAAAAAGUAAACUUGAGUAGUGUAGAAUAUAUACUUUUCUAUUCUAGCAUAGAGUCUUGCUCUCUUAAUUUUUGUAAUUUAUGAAAAAUAUGAAGUUCAUAUUUUUAUGUGUUUUUAGAAUAGAUAAAGAUGUUGUCUAGAUAACAGACAACAAAAUCAUCUAAAAACUCUUGAAAAAUAUUAUUCAUAAGAUAUUAAAAGCUUAUAGUACAUUUAUAAGUCCAAAAGACAUGAUAUUAUAUUCAAAAUAUCCAUACUUGAUUUGAAAUGUAGUCUUCUAUUCAUCUCAUUCUUUGAUGCGUAUCAAAUUGUAUGCUCCUUAUAGAUCUAUUUUUGUAUAAAUCUUAGCUUGAUUCAGUUGAUCAAGAAUUCUAGAUGUUAAACGUAGUGGAUACCUAUUUUUGAUGGUAAUCUUGUUGAAUCUUUGAUAAUCAACACACAUCCGUGAUGAUCCAUCUUUUUUCUUCACAAAUAGAAUUGGGGCUCUUACUAGAGAUUUGGUUGGCAUAUGAAGUUCUUGGCUAGAUUCACUUCAAUAUACUCCUUGAAUUUAGCCAACUUAUUUUAUGAUAAAUUAUAGAUUGGUUCAAUUGGCGAUUGUGCUCUUUCUUGAAGGUUAAUUGAGCAGUCAUAGAGACAAUGUUCUGAAAGAGUAUCUGCAUUUUUUUAUCUUAAAUACAUCUUGAAAUUCUUGAUAUUGACUUGGAAUGCCACUUGAAGUCUUUGCACUAUUAGAAAUGGAUGUGGCAUAAAUGACACAAGGUAAUCAUUCUUUUGUAGCAUGCAAGAAAGUUCUUAAACCUACAAACACAAAUUUUAUUGUAUUAGACUUAUGAUUUUCUACUUGAUUAAUUAUAUUCUUAUAUUUGAUUAGUUAUACUUUUAGAAAAGUUAAGAAUAUGAGAAAUCCAAUUUACUUAAGGGUUGAAUUUUUUAACUACAAAAAGCCUAAAAUGAUUGGAUUAGAGGAAGAUCUAAUAAUAAUAAAUAAAUAAUUGGAUUAGAUCUAAUAAUAUUAAAUAUUUAAUAUUAAAUACUUCAUCUAAAAAAUAUGUUGAGAUUCUUGAAUCUAACAAGGUACAAGCUUUGUAAUAUUUAGGUCCUAAAAUAAAAUUUAAUAUAAAAUAAGAAGAAGGUUUUGAAGAGAAAAUAAAACCUUCAUUAGGUAUUGUACAAGGUGUCAAGGACAAGAACUCUAUGGAAAAGUAAUUCAAACAAGUGAGCCUUCACUCAAAAAAAAGUAACAAAUAUAAAUAAACAAGUAUGUAUAUUGAAAGAGAAGCUAGAAUGGCUAUUGCCAAAAGACAAGAAAACUAGAGACCCUUGAAACUAGACUUGAAGCAAGAAAGGAGUUGACAAGAGUGAAGAAGGCUUCACUCUUGUCUCUAUAUAUACUAUCUAACUAAGGGCUACAUGGCGACGUUCUAUAGGACCUUCAAUAUGUGUUGAUUUUGUAGGACACAUGCUUUGACUUACAAGGCAAGUUUGUCUACGUGUGGGCCACAUAGUUAGCUUGGUCUUCAAGCUAUCAACAUGUGUGGCACAUGGCUAACUUGUUAAUCAUGUUUCUAAUCCAAAAAGUUAAUUAAAGACACCUAUGAAGUCAAAGUAGCAUCUAUGAAGCUUCUAAGAAGCUUUCAUAUCAAAUACUAUAGAAUUAACUUACUUUUAUCUACUUUUACUUACUUCUACCUAUUUGUAUAUAUAAUUAUUGGCUUACAUGAGUAUGUCCGUGACAUUACCUCUCCUUCUAGAGAAGAGUUCUACAUGGAGCGCUCAUCAUAUAUUGAGGAAAUCUAUGAUGCGAUGAAUUGUAUUUACCACAUACUCUGAUCUUUGUUCUUUUCGAAGAUGAUUGAUAGGACCUGUCAACCAUCGGUAGUGUUUCAUAUCAGGGCAGGAAGACCACAAAUUAUUUGAUCAUUGUUGAGGCCUUCAUAACUUCUUUCGAAUAGAAUAUUUGGAACACCAUCAGGAGUUGUUUCUAUCUCUAGCAAAAUCACCAAAUAUCGGGAGUCUCUUCCUAAAUCGUGAUACCAAACGCGUUGUAUCUCGCCAUUUAUUCAAGGAAGAACAUGUUGUUCUUGAAGAUCUUCAUCUCGAUUGCGUCAUCUUGAAGGUUGUGACAAUCGUAAUGUCUCGUCCAGCAGGUCAACAAAUGAAGGUUCUUGAGUCGAAUCCACUGGUUGUUGGUUUUCCAUCUCCUGAGCGUCACAACUACCAAGAAGCUACAAACAAGGAUUGAAAGUAGAAUGUUAUCUUAUCUAGCUGUUGUUUCUUUUAUAAAGAAGGUUUUCAUCUUGAUUUUGAUGGAUGCCAUCAAUGGAAAGCCUCCACCACCUUUGUUGCAUUUGCAAGAUUCUUUAUUGGCUCCCAUGUACAUUGUCGUAAUACGUGAAGUCUUGCUUGAGAAUGCACCGAACACCUAACUGUGGAAGGAAGAAUGAAAAUUACAAUAACAAAAUCUUAAUUCUAAUAGAAUACUAACAAUACUCUAAUUAGAUUAUAAUAAUACUAAACAAGCUUAAUCAAAUUCAAAAAAAUCCUCAAAGAAAUUUCAAACAAACAAUAGGAAUUUUUAAAGAAACAUUAGAAAGAAUACAAAUAUCAUUCAAAUACAUCUCAAUUCAAUCUUAAUUUAAUUUUAGUUAAAAUCCUAUUAAAUUUCAUUCAAACUUUAGGCCAAAACUAAUUGAAUCUUAAAUCCUAAUAAAAUCCUAAACCCUAAAUAAAACCCUAAUCCAAAUCCUAAAUCCUAAAUCAAAUCCUAACCAAAUCCUAAAUCAAACCCUAAUCCAAACCCUAAAUCCUAAAUCAAAUCCUAAUCAAAUCCUAAAUACUAAAUCAAAUCCUAACCAAAUCCUAAAUCCUAAAUACAAUCCUAACCAAAUUCUAAAAAAAACCCUAAUCCAAACCCUAAACCCUAAAUCAAAUCCUAAAUCAAACCCUAAAUCCUAAACCAAACCCUAAAUCAAAUCCUAAAUCUUAAACCAAAUCCUAACCAAAUUCUAAACCAAACCCUAAAUCCUAAAUCAAAUCCUAAUCCAAAUCCUAAACCCUAAACCAAAUCCUAACCAAACCCUAAA
Molecule: long non-coding RNA, 5217 nt
Filed under: Physcomitrium patens
Lineage: Eukaryota; Viridiplantae; Streptophyta; Bryopsida; Funariales; Funariaceae
Description: long non-coding RNA (PPAT_LNC007803)
Source: RNAcentral